GCUCCUGCUCCCCUCCUCCCACCUCCUCUUCCUCUCCGCGCACCCGGCCCCCUCCUCCCCCGCGGUCCACCUCCGCGCCUACUCCCUCGCCUCUGCUCGCUUCGCCCCCGCCCCGCUCUCCUUCAAGCGCCACGUCUCGCCCACCGCCCUGCCCCUCCACGGCCUUCCGUUCGGCCUCGGCGUCCGCCUCGCGGGCGGGGUCAACGCCGUGGCGCUUCUCUCCCUGGCCGCCGGCCAGAUCUGGGUGCUUGCACCGAGGAUGGCCGCGGACGGGCGGACGCUUGAGCUGCACAAGUGUGCGGUCAUCCAGCUCGAGCCAACGCGGCCGGUGUAUGCCAUGGAGGUCGCCAUGGGGAGGCUGCUGCUCGGAGAGGCUGGCGGCGUGCGCGUGUUCCCACUGAGGAGUUUGAUGAAGGGUGGGAGGGAGAAGGAGGGGAGAAGGGAGGGUGCCGCGGCAUCAGCAAAGAAGAGCUUGCACAAGAAGAACGGGAUUCUGAAUGGACUGAUUGUGCCGGUUGGGCGUGGUAGUGGCGCCCGAGGUGGUCAAGGAGAUGCUGCUUCCGACUGUAAGCUUACAACCUUGCGGGUAAAACAGAGUUCAGGGAGCUAUUCCUCUUUCUUUUUGGCAUUUAAUCAAGAGGAUCAUAACUCUCAAGGUGGUGUAAAAUUGAUAAAAUCAGUUAAAGCUGUCUCAAUCCAACCUUCUUCCAAGGACAAGUUUCUGGUACUUGAUUCAGCUGGAGUGAUACAUGCCUUCAGUCUUCGAAAUGCUGAGUUGGAACCGGAAGCUGCCAAAACAUGUUUUUUGGAUUGUGCCAUGAAAGUCCAAUUGUUUGCUGUUUCCCCAAGUAGCUCUACGAAGACACAGAUUCUUUGGGUUUCAGAUGGUGGACAUUCCAUACAAAUAUUGUCAGCAUUGCCGGCAUUUGAUGUCAAGUCUCCUAAAAGUGACGAUGAUGAUAGUGAUGGGGAAAGAGAGUUAGCAAGCAUUAAGCUCUCAGCUACUGAAGCCAUCUUCACUAGUGAAAAGGUUCAAGACAUUGUACCUAUCUCCAAGGAUUCCGUGCUUAUCCUUGGCCAAGGCAACAUGUUUUUAUAUGGAACUGCUUGAAUUUGGCUUGUUAUCAUAUUCGUGGUGGAGACACAGCUGUUGUUUAGAUCAUGAAUGUGCAGUUUUGGAUGGGUUUUUGACCAAUGACAGGUGUUUGCUGAUCUUGAAGACGUACUUGUUCACCUGUUUUUGGAAGUCAUGAGCACCAUUAGUAUUUUAAUUUCAGUAAGCAGAGUAAAACUCAUGACUUGGAUGACAGCCAGCAAGAGUUGAAAGGUGCAGGCCAUUCUAUGCUGUCUCGACUGUCUGAAAGCAACAUUGCAAAACUCCGAGCCAUCUUUCAGCACAGCUCGCCGAUACUUCUGAGCAGGUGAUGCCACAUUAUGCAAUGCAUGGAUUACAUCAACUUGGCUGUUGUCUAUUCACAUUUCUGCACGCCGGGACAGGGGGAUUUCUGGUUGCUAUGGCUGCAAGAAGGGGUGGCUGCAGGCUGCAGCCCUGUGCCCAGGCUCUGCUGUGGUGGAUCACCGCCAAGUGUGGUUGGUUAUGAGACUGCUCCCUGGCGGUGGACUAUGAAGUUGAUCCUACUGCAGCAGGGAGACUGGGCUGUGGAGCUGAGUGUGGUGUGUGCUUUCUUGUAGUAGUUGCCAGGCUCUGGGUGCCUCAGAAACCAAUAAUGUAGCACUAUUUCUGUAAGGUCAGG
RNAcentral lists this ribosomal RNA (1754 nucleotides) under Triticum aestivum (bread wheat). RNAcentral describes it as "partial small subunit ribosomal RNA". Lineage: Eukaryota; Viridiplantae; Streptophyta; Magnoliopsida; Poales; Poaceae. The record is from RNAcentral.